UGAUCCUGCCAGUAGUCAUAUGCUUGUCUCAAAGAUUAAGCCAUGCAUGUCUAAGUAUAAGCAAUUAUACAGCGAAACUGCGAAUGGCUCAUUAUAUAAGUUAUCGUUUAUUUGAUAGUGCCUUACUACUUGGAUAACCGUGGUAAUUCUAGAGCUAAUACAUGCUAGUCGAACGUCUCUAGGCUAUGGUGGAGACGUGGCGAACGGCUCAGUAACACGUGGCUAACCUACCCUUAGGACGGAGACAACCCCGGGAAACUGGGGCUAAUAACCGAUAGGUGAGGGCGCCUGGAAUGACCCCUCGCCCAAAAGGUGUCUAGACCAUGCUUCCUGACAUUGCCUAAGGAUGGGGCCGCGGCCGAUCAGGCUGUUGGCGAGGCAAAGGCUCACCAAACCGUAUAACCGGUACGGGCCAUGAAAGUGGUAGCCCGGAGAUGGGCACUGAGACAA
This 450-nucleotide ribosomal RNA is filed under the name uncultured eukaryote. RNAcentral describes it as "partial 18S ribosomal RNA". The stretch from base 155 to 450 matches the Rfam family "Archaeal small subunit ribosomal RNA", at positions 44 to 311 of the family's 1478-position model. The record is from RNAcentral.